GGAGGAGCCGCCGGUGUGGCGACGGCACCUGUCCCGAAAACAGCAGCCCGCGAGGGCUCGAGGGUUCGACUCCCUCCUCCUCCACCA
Molecule: transfer RNA, 87 nt
Filed under: Myxococcales bacterium
Lineage: Bacteria; Pseudomonadati; Myxococcota; Myxococcia; Myxococcales
Also listed under: 1 other name
Description: tRNA-Ser
Rfam family: tRNA
About the family: Transfer RNA (tRNA) molecules are approximately 80 nucleotides in length. Their secondary structure includes four short double-helical elements and three loops (D, anti-codon, and T loops).
Source: RNAcentral